This 451-nucleotide long non-coding RNA is filed under the name Gossypium barbadense (sea-island cotton). RNAcentral describes it as "long non-coding RNA (GBAR_LNC013080)". The record is from RNAcentral. Lineage: Eukaryota; Viridiplantae; Streptophyta; Magnoliopsida; Malvales; Malvaceae.
GAUGGCAGCCCUCUGAUCGAGGUUUGAUUAAAUUAAAUUGUGACAGCUCAUCCAUAGGAAACCCCGGGUUCGCUGGUGCGGGAACUCUCCUUAGAGAUCAUGAUGGCCUUUGGGUCGCUGGUUGUUAUCGUUUUCUGGAUUUUACAUCAAAUAUGACAGCAGAGCUUUGGGCUCUUCGCGACGGUUUAUCAUUAGCAUCAUCUCUUAAUGUUGAUUCUUUAAUUGUUGAAGUGGAUGCUACAGCAUUUAUUUCUCUGAUUUCUGUUGACGAAUGCACAAAACUUUCACUCAGAUCUUUGGUUGUGGAUUGCAGGACUAUAUCCGCGACCUUCCGCCGUAGUCGGUUGGUCCAUGUUUUCAGAGAGAGCAAUCGUUGUGCAGACGCGUUGGCACGCAAAGGCAGCAACCCAACUUUUCUCUAAAAUUUAUUCUCUCGGGACUAAUCGCUUGC